This is a long non-coding RNA of Panicum virgatum (switchgrass), 1311 nucleotides long. RefSeq lists it as uncharacterized. NCBI's taxonomy places the organism in Eukaryota, Viridiplantae, Streptophyta, Magnoliopsida, Poales, Poaceae. The record is from RefSeq and is a predicted model, not a curated record. The transcript has 4 exons.
GUUGAAUGCAAGGUUUGCGUCCUGGUUGGAAAAUUCAAACAUGUUGCAGCAAUGAGUGAUAUUAAGCACUCAGUUUCUCAUACAACUCAUAUAAGGCUGCCGAUAGUUUUCUGGUCCUGUUGCAGCAGUAAUCAAACGAUGGUACAGUAUUCUCAUGCCUGUUCAAGAUGCAAUAACAUUCUGAUGCGAGCUUCAUCAAAUGUAUUAAUUCUACAUUCAGAGCUAGCAAUCCUACCCUUGAUCUACAAAUAGCUAGUGACAUUUCAGUUAUUCAGUGUUUCAAUAUGCAGUUACCAAGUUUAAGCUCAGCAGCACCAAAUUUUUAAACACCCUCACAGCUGCCAGGAAGUACCAGCAGCUAGCUGUAACGAACGCUGAGAUGUUCUCAGGAGCAGAUACAGGAAUAGAAGAAUGGAAGUUCUCAGGAGGUUGUGGUUCAUUCCAGGGAUUACUUCAAGCUGUGUCGUACCAACUGACAUCAAUACUGAAGAUAUGAGUGUUCAGCACGACAGAGAGGCCAGUUCAUCGGCAGCAUGGUUGACUACGACUUGUACUAAUGCUGCCUGUGAAUGUCAAGGGGUCAUGGGUUUAUUAUGCAUGGGACCUUAGAGACCACUAUGUGAACAUUAUUGACCCAUCCGCGGGAAGAGCUGAUGACGAUUUUAUCAAAAUGGUACAUUCAAACACUAUCAAGUUACUAGAACACUCCAUCGUCUACACCAUAAGCAAUAUGUUCAGGGGCUAGGACAUCAACUUUUCUUGCUUUGAGAAGAAGGUCUGAGACUGGGUUUUACACCUUGUACUGCAUGAAGAAUUUGGAUGGUGGCAACAAGGUCCACACAACCAACGCAAUCCAGAAAUUUAAAGGGUACUACUUGCGGUAUGAGGCUUUCGGGAUGAAGGACAAUAGGGGCAAGCUGCCUUGUGUUUAUAACUUUAUGUUCAGACAAUUGAUGACUAAAGCUGCACAAAAUGCAACGUCAAGGAGGUGGCUCAAAGUAGUUCCGAAAGACUUAUCCCACCAGACAGCAAAUCUGUUAUUAGUGAGGAAGGAACCAACCGAUGUCCGCGUGAAAAGAUUUAGUCUUUUGUUAGUGACGAAGAAACCACAUGGUGUUAGCGUGCAAGGAUUAAGUAUACCAGAGAGAAUCGUGCUGCUAAUUGGGUCAUGGAAAUGUUUGUCACCGUCUAAAAGUAGCUCCUUCUGUGGCCAAUUAAGUACCUUAACUUGGCUUUUGAUGACCUGCCACUAGAGGGCCAAUUUGACUUCAGGCGCUGCAGAUAAUUAAGAUACCUCUUGUUUUGUGUUUA